Molecule: non-coding RNA, 24 nt
Filed under: Arabidopsis thaliana (thale cress)
Lineage: Eukaryota; Viridiplantae; Streptophyta; Magnoliopsida; Brassicales; Brassicaceae
Source: RNAcentral
UAUCUGCCAGAAUGGUCUGCCUGG